Molecule: ribosomal RNA, 600 nt
Filed under: Triticum aestivum (bread wheat)
Lineage: Eukaryota; Viridiplantae; Streptophyta; Magnoliopsida; Poales; Poaceae
Description: partial small subunit ribosomal RNA
Source: RNAcentral
AUGAGGAAGGCGCCCGCAGCGGCCUCCAAGCCCAAGCCCAGGGCGAGGGCGAGGGCGAAGCCCAAGGCGAAGGCCAGCCCCGACUCCCUCUCCAGCGCCACGUCGCCGUCCCGCAGCGGCGGGUCUCCCGUCGCAGUCGGCCGCGGCCUCCUCUCGCCCUCCUCGCCGGCGACGCCCAAGGCCAGGCCCCCCCUCUCCCCGUUCGCCGCAUCCACGCCGGCCUCCGUGUCCACCGUCGGCGACCUGAGGAGCCUCGCCGCCUCGAGCCUCGACUCGCUCAAGCGCCGCCUCGACGCGCUCCACGGCGACUCCGCCCGCGACCUCGAGGCCUCCCACUCCCGAAUCUCCAAGCGCAUCAAGAUGCAGACGCAGAGCUGCCUCAAGCUGGCGGAGGAGGCGGAGAAGGAGCGUAAGGAGAUGGCCGAGAGGAUCUCCGGGCGCGCCGAGGAGAUGAAGGCAUCGUACAAGAAGUUCCUGACAGAGGUGCAGUCGUCUUCGUCUCGUGCGUCCAAGGUGACCUUCCCUGAGAUGGCAAAGUCCGUGGCCAGAGCUAUCGAUGGAUUGCGCAGUCGCUACAACAUCCCAGCUACGCCAGCUUAG